Molecule: long non-coding RNA, 2007 nt
Filed under: Homo sapiens (human)
Lineage: Eukaryota; Metazoa; Chordata; Mammalia; Primates; Hominidae
Description: HSALNT0407754
Rfam family: mir-223 microRNA precursor family (bases 454-559)
Source: RNAcentral
CAUACCAGUCUAGUUUCAGCUCAACCACUAACUCCUUCCAUUAAUACUGAAGCAAUGUUGUCUAUAAGGCUCCACAAAUUUCAAAGUACUAAUAAUUUUUAGCCCCUUUCAUGCCUCCUUUCCAGCCUUUCUGGAGGUGAAUAAAGUCAGAAAGUGCAUUCAAAAGGCUGUGAACACCUCCAGCUUAUCUAGGUCUUCUUACUGGAGCUGACAGCCAAUGAGUGUAAUGAUACAAAAAAGGUAACAAUCCAUUUCUUUUUCUCCUGCCAUCCCCAACUCAGACUCUGUUAAUCAGCUUGCUUGGCUGGCCUCCAACCAUAGGUCCAGGGGCUGAGACAAGGUCCUUUUGAGCUCCUAUGUGGGAGGCUCUGGAAAGCUUAGCAACACUUUCCAACAACUUUGCCAGGGUCACAUCUCCCAGGAAGAUCUCACUUCCCCACAGAAGCUCUUGGCCUGGCCUCCUGCAGUGCCACGCUCCGUGUAUUUGACAAGCUGAGUUGGACACUCCAUGUGGUAGAGUGUCAGUUUGUCAAAUACCCCAAGUGCGGCACAUGCUUACCAGCUCUAGGCCAGGGCAGAUGGGAUAUGACGAAUGGACUGCCAGCUGGAUACAAGGAUGCUCACCAAGCACCAAGUUCUCACAAGUUAUUUUAUGUGACUUUGCAGGAACUGAGGCAUUAUAUCUGAGGACACCAGGGGAAAAGUGUGGCAUCUCAGGGAAAUACAGCCCUGGGCUGUGUCUACACACACCAUGAGAGUGCUGAUGGGGGCGCAAUAGUCUUGAAAAUGUAUAAAGUGUCCAGGAAUGGAAGUGCUCUUUGAUUCAUUAUUAUUUUCUUCCUUCAUAUUCCCCUCCCAGAGUCUCCUAUCUAGGACAUCAGCAUUCUCACACAAGCCUAAUGGCUUAUCUGAGUAAGCAGGGCUUAGAAAUUCACUUUCUUGAUACUCAGUCUUGCCUUCUAAACACUCCUUGAUCUUGCCUACCUCUCCCCUUUUCCACAUGUCUUUUCCUGUAGGAACACUUUCUCCAUUUAUUCCUGCCUAUCCAAUUCUUCCCUAUAUUUCCUGGACCAGCUAAAGUCCAGUGUUUCCAGAGACUUUUGAAAGUCAACUUACACUUUUUCCUUCUUCAUUCACAAAGCUCUUCUUCCCUGGGCCCUGGUAUGUAUGCCUUUCUCUCCUACUGUCUAAUAGCACCUCGUAAAUUGUCAAUGAACUUUUCUAAGGGGUAUUCUUGAAUUCCCAACUAGAUUGUGAGCUUCUGGAAGACAAGGCUAUGUCUUUGAUUGUUGUCUCCCCUACCACAGCCCAGUACUUUAGUUACAGAAAAUAAUAAAUAUUUACUGAUUGAUUGACUUUCCUCUUGUCCACUAGCUUUAGGUUUGGGGGCCAAAUUCUACCCUGGAUUUUGAAAAAUUCAAACUGUGAACACCACAAUGUUAUAGAGCAUAUGAGGUAGUAGCCAGCAUGAAGGAUGUUUUCUUCCUGAGAAACAGUGUCAAGGGCUGGAGGAAGAGGGCAAAAUAGCAGACUCAGAGGGCAAAUAAAUUUUGGUAUUACUUGGUCACACAAGGUUAUACAGGUGUUUUCUUGUAGGAUUUUUCAGAGCCUUUAAUAGUCUAAUGUUGCAUUGAGAAUCUCAAAGAGGAAACCAUAGAAUGAGGCAUUUGCCAUACCUAUCUGAUCAUGAAUUUUCUUUUCCCCCACAGCCUUCUCCUGUGUCAAUGUCCAAUGAAGCACGAUUUGGGAAACUGUCCUAGAGAAACUUUAUACCUUCCCGCUCUUCUGGAGAUCUUUUCCUCUUUUCAUUCAUCUACUUUCCCCAACCAGCCAUCUGCCUAAGAAAGGUCACAUGUUAUCAUCUCAUUUUUGUUUAGCCUCUGCAGCUGUGGACUAUCUUUAUUACAUAGGAAUUCUUUACUAGCUUGUCCUGUAUUUAAAAAUAUUCUAAGUUUUGAGGCAAAGAAGAUCCAGAUGCUGCAAUAAAUAUAUGCACUGAGGAGUUCA